RNAcentral lists this ribosomal RNA (247 nucleotides) under uncultured bacterium. RNAcentral describes it as "partial 16S ribosomal RNA". It matches the Rfam family "Bacterial small subunit ribosomal RNA", at positions 523 to 769 of the family's 1533-position model. The record is from RNAcentral.
AUACGGAGGGUGCAAGCGUUGUUCGGAUUUAUUGGGCGUAAAGCGCGUGUAGGCGGUUUUUUAAGUCUGAUGUGAAAGCCCUGGGCUCAACCUGGGAAGUGCAUUGGAUACUGGAAGACUUGAGUACGGGAGAGGGUAGUGGAAUUCCUAGUGUAGGAGUGAAAUCCGUAGAUAUUAGGAGGAACACCGGUGGCGAAGGCGGCUGCCUGGACCGAUAUUGACGCUGAGACGCGAAAGCGUGGGUAGC